RNAcentral lists this ribosomal RNA (405 nucleotides) under Cimex hemipterus. RNAcentral describes it as "partial large subunit ribosomal RNA". Lineage: Eukaryota; Metazoa; Arthropoda; Insecta; Hemiptera; Cimicidae. The record is from RNAcentral.
AAUAAUUUGUUUUUUAAUUGGAAACUUGUAUGAAUGGUCAUACGAGGGAUUGACUUUCUUUAUCUUAUAUUAAUUAAUUUUAUUUCUCUGUGAAAAAGCAGAGAUGUAUUUAUUAGACGAUAAGACCCUUUAAAACUUUAUUUAUUAUAAAAGCAUGAGUUUUUAGUUGUUUUUUUGUGCUAUUUUUAGUGAAUUUUGUUGGGGCGACAGGUAAAUUUAUUGAACUUUACUUUUUUAUAUCACAAAUUAGUGUUUGUUUGAUCCAGGUUUAUAUUCUGAUUAAAAGCUUAAGUUACUUAAGGGAUAACAGCGUAAUCUUGCCGGAGAGUUCUUAUUUAUGGCAAGGUUUGCGACCUCGAUGUUGGAUUAAAAUUAAUGUUAGGUGUAGCUUUGAUAAACAGGGGA